This 74-nucleotide transfer RNA is filed under the name Planctomycetota bacterium. RNAcentral describes it as "tRNA-His". It matches the Rfam family "tRNA". Rfam says of the family: Transfer RNA (tRNA) molecules are approximately 80 nucleotides in length. Their secondary structure includes four short double-helical elements and three loops (D, anti-codon, and T loops). RNAcentral also lists the same sequence under 9 other names. The record is from RNAcentral. Lineage: Bacteria; Pseudomonadati; Planctomycetota.
GUGGCUGUAGCUCAGUUGGUUAGAGCGUCGGAUUGUGAUUCCGAAGGUCGGGGGUUCGAGACCCCUCAGCCACC